CUUCUCGAUGACGAGUUGAUCUCGUACAUCCUUGCUGGACUCGACAUGGAGUACCAGCCGCUCGUCUCCGCCCUCGACGCACGCACCACGCCGGUCUCCUUUGAAGAGCUCUAUGCCCAGAUGAGCAACUUCGACC
This is a small nucleolar RNA of Hordeum vulgare subsp. vulgare (domesticated barley), 136 nucleotides long. RefSeq annotates it as small nucleolar RNA Z247. Lineage: Eukaryota; Viridiplantae; Streptophyta; Magnoliopsida; Poales; Poaceae. The transcript has a single exon. The record is from RefSeq and is a predicted model, not a curated record.